Molecule: long non-coding RNA, 1708 nt
Filed under: Triticum aestivum (bread wheat)
Lineage: Eukaryota; Viridiplantae; Streptophyta; Magnoliopsida; Poales; Poaceae
Description: long non-coding RNA (TAES_LNC014017)
Source: RNAcentral
UUCCCUGCCAGCACCUGAUCUAGCGUCGUUCGUCCCACGACGGCGAGAUCCAGUUCCCCUGUGGCCUCUUCCUUCGGCCUUGGUUGACAAAAAGCAGUAAGAAAUCCUCACAUUUCCAAAUUUCUUUGCUACAAUUCAAUUACCUCUUCUCACCGUGCAAAUUUAAGAAACUCAACAACACAUUCUGAAGUGUUGUUUGUUGAUCAACUGGUUUAAUCAGUGCUGGCUUUGCGAGACUGUUGUCGUGUGAAAUUUUCAGAAGGAAAAAAUGCCUGUAGAUAUUGCUCUUCAAUCAUAUGACAAUAAACAUCAAUCUUCUCUUUUCUAUGCUGAAUGGUCAUUGCUGCUUGAUUUAGUGCGUUGCUGUGCAGUAAAUAUCAAGGCUUAAUUAGUAUAAGACUAAUAACAAUGGAAGAUCUAGAAGUUUCUAUCUCUGAACUUGCAGAGUUCUCCGAGCUUAGGAUAGCAAGACAUUGUCGAGGUUCACAAAGAGUAAAAGGCGACCUUACAUGAGCAUAACAAUAGCAGUACAAAUGCCAAAAGAAUUUGGCACACAAGUACAUAGUUACCACAACAAUAUUAGUACAUCAUAAAUGAUUGCUACGUCAUAAAACUCAGCGUCUAAGUUCCCCUCUCAGAACACACACAGUUAUAUUAUCCAGCAUAUCACUUCAGGAUGAACACACAGGUUUGCUCAGUGUUAUCCAUCGGUUAGGGGCAUGCAUCCUUCUAUUCUGUAUCUUGAUAUACAGAAAGAAAUACUAUGUAUUGUUUACUCUUACUGAAUUGAUAAUGAGGUCUUAGCUGUAAUGUUAAUAUCCGUGAAAUCAAUAUCUAAGGUUGCUAUUCUUAAGAUUUAGUCGUUUCGUACUCCUAAUUUUGCACUGGGAUUUAAUGAACAUGAAUGCAGAAAAGGUUAACAUGCCUUGAACAUCUUUAUUUACUGAACAGAAAUAGACAAUUCAGUGUGAAAAUUUGGAUUUUGGAACACGCCUAUGCUUGAUAGGAUUUGUGUAUCUCACCCUUCCAAUGAAAUGAACUGUAUGGCAUCUAAAUUUCGACCCUCCGCCGCUAGAUCAUUUGCUGUGAAGAAGUCUCCAGUAAGCGAUUGAAGUGUACACUGGAUAUUGCACUUCCAAUUGCGUGAUCCAUAUUGGUUGACUGAACACAUAAUUACCUUUUUUAUGUCCUGCAAAUAUGUGGUGUUUUGCAGAUUUAUGUUAACACAAGCUCACACCAUAUAUUUUCUAUGUACCUCUGUAUCCCAAUGGAAAAUGCAUUCUACAGAGCACUGUAACUUGGCAGUGCUUAUCUUUUCCUGAUUGACACAUGCAUUUCUUGAGAUGGACCAAAGCAGAACCUUGAUUCCGUAUAGUUUGCUUGCAUUCAGCUAACUUAAUAGCAGCGAACUAUCAAAUGAUUUCUGAACAAUAGUUAUUUGAUAUAAUUUUUGUUUUCUAUCACCAAUAAUGGUUGCUCCUCUGAUGCAUGUAGGCUAUAUCAUCAUUCAAGGAGAUUGUGGCAAAAUGAAGUGCGAUGCUAGAAACUUUCUCGUGAUACAAAAAACUCUGAAUCGUGGCAUUGUGUAGUGAAAAUAUGAAGAGGCUGGUACCAUUAUUAGUUUUUUACUGACCAGAAAAUUGUACUACCUCCGUAAACUAAUAUAAGAGCGUUUAGAAUACUAAAGUAGUAAUCUAAACACUCUUAU